AGUCGUGUUCUUUGAGAUUGGAGCACAAAUGUGUGUGAUACAUUUCACAUAAAGCUAAAUAUGUGUAGGAGACCGAUAGAAAACAAGUACCGUGAGGGAAAGAUGAAAUAGUACUCAGGAAUGAGCAAUUAAAUAGUACCUGAAAUCGUUAAGAUGGAACGGAUUAAGAAAGAAAAAAAGUAAAAAAGGAAUUAUAAAGCUUUAUACUUUAUUUUUGCUUUUUUAUUAAAAGAAACAUCAGUGAAAAGGAAAGGGAAAACUGAUUUUCUGAAUAAUUAAAUAAUAAUUAUUCUAUUUACUGAGGAAUUUUAAAAAAGAUAAAAUUUAUUUUAUCUUUUUAAGCUGUUUCUAAAAAAUACUUUCUUAACCCACUCGUCUUGAAACACGGACCAAGGAGUCUAACAAAUGUGCAAGUGUACAUGAAUAUACUAAACAUUAAAAAAAAUGUACGCAUAAUUAAUGUAAAAAUAUAUAUAUUGUAGAAAUAGCAAAAAAGGAAACUUCUUUGCUAAUUGCAUACAAUACCGAC
Molecule: ribosomal RNA, 529 nt
Filed under: Plasmodium lophurae
Lineage: Eukaryota; Apicomplexa; Aconoidasida; Haemosporida; Plasmodiidae
Description: partial 25S ribosomal RNA
Rfam family: Eukaryotic large subunit ribosomal RNA
Source: RNAcentral